UACCGCAUAACGUCGCAAGACCAAAGUGGGGGACCUUCGGGCCUCAUGCCAUCAGAUGUGCCCAGAUGGGAUUAGCUAGUAGGUGGGGUAACGGCUCACCUAGGCGACGAUCCCUAGCUGGUCUGAGAGGAUGACCAGCCACACUGGAACUGAGACACGGUCCAGACUCCUACGGGAGGCAGCAGUGGGGAAUAUUGCACAAUGGGCGCAAGCCUGAUGCAGCCAUGCCGCGUGUGUGAAGAAGGCCUUCGGGUUGUAAAGCACUUUCAGCGGGGAGGAAGGCGGUGAGGUUAAUAACCUCAUCGAUUGACGUUACCCGCAGAAGAAGCACCGGCUAACUCCGUGCCAGCAGCCGCGGUAAUACGGAGGGUGCAAGCGUUAAUCGGAAUUACUGGGCGUAAAGCGCACGCAGGCGGUCUGUCAAGUCGGAUGUGAAAUCCCCGGGCUCAACCUGGGAACUGCAUUCGAAACUGGCAGGCUAGAGUCUUGUAGAGGGGGGUAGAAUUCCAGGUGUAGCGGUGAAAUGCGUAGAGAUCUGGAGGAAUACCGGUGGCGAAGGCGGCCCCCUGGACAAAGACUGACGCUCAGGUGCGAAAGCGUGGGG
Molecule: ribosomal RNA, 604 nt
Filed under: Acinetobacter baumannii
Lineage: Bacteria; Pseudomonadati; Pseudomonadota; Gammaproteobacteria; Moraxellales; Moraxellaceae
Description: bacterial SSU rRNA
Rfam family: Bacterial small subunit ribosomal RNA
Source: RNAcentral